GGAGAGGUGGCCGAGUGGCUUAAGGCGCACGCUUGGAAAGCGUGUAUACAGCAAUGUAUCGUGGGUUCGAAUCCCAUCCUCUCCGCCA
This 88-nucleotide transfer RNA is filed under the name Alphaproteobacteria bacterium. RNAcentral's name for it is "tRNA-Ser". It matches the Rfam family "tRNA". From Rfam's summary of the family: Transfer RNA (tRNA) molecules are approximately 80 nucleotides in length. Their secondary structure includes four short double-helical elements and three loops (D, anti-codon, and T loops). Lineage: Bacteria; Pseudomonadati; Pseudomonadota; Alphaproteobacteria. RNAcentral also lists the same sequence under 2 other names. The record is from RNAcentral.